This 343-nucleotide long non-coding RNA is filed under the name Elaeis guineensis (African oil palm). Its description in RNAcentral is "long non-coding RNA (EGUI_LNC048934)". The record is from RNAcentral. Lineage: Eukaryota; Viridiplantae; Streptophyta; Magnoliopsida; Arecales; Arecaceae.
CAUCGUCCCCACCAAGAUCCUUUGGUUCUGCUUCAAUCUCAACCUGCAGAGACGUAGGCGCCAUGAGUUCAUUGUCUCCGAUCCCGCCGCCAUGGGGACUGAGGAGCAUGGCGAUGAAGUCUUCUACAGCGAGUAUUCCGGCCGAAGUCCCCCCCUGUAUAUGUUAAACAUCCACCGAUCUCACCCGGGUUUAGAGCCUUCGAAGCAGCCGUGCCCGUCAACAUUGCCGAUCAAGCCACCCGCAGCCGGAUCUAGCCUCAUCGAACCCAUGGACCUAGUCUCCCUUGUGCACAUAAUCCGCCUUUGAUGGUUCACCCAUUCGCGCCUCCCCUCCUCCGUCGGU